RNAcentral lists this ribosomal RNA (468 nucleotides) under uncultured bacterium. RNAcentral's name for it is "partial 16S ribosomal RNA". It matches the Rfam family "Bacterial small subunit ribosomal RNA", at positions 28 to 507 of the family's 1533-position model. The record is from RNAcentral.
GACGAACGCUGGCGGCGUGCUUAACACAUGCAAGUCGAACGGAAAGGCCCUGCUUUUGUGGGGUGCUCGAGUGGCGAACGGGUGAGUAACACGUGAGUAACCUGCCCUUGACUUUGGGAUAACUUCAGGAAACUGGGGCUAAUACCGGAUAGGAGCUCCUGCUGCAUGGUGGGGGUUGGAAAGUUUCGGCGGUUGGGGAUGGACUCGCGGCUUAUCAGCUUGUUGGGGGGGUAGUGGCUUACCAAGGCUUUGACGGGUAGCCGGCCUGAGAGGGUGACCGGCCACAAUGGGACUGAGAUACGGCCCAGACUCCUACGGGAGGCAGCAGUGGGGAAUAUUGCACAAUGGGCGGAAGCCUGAUGCAGCAACGCCGCGUGCGGGAUGACGGCCUUCGGGUUGUAAACCGCUUUCGCCUGUGACGAAGCGUGAGUGACGGUAAUGGGUAAAGAAGCACCGGCUAACUACGUG